GCUGGAAUAGCUCAGUUGGUAGAGCAACUGAUUCGUAAUCAGUAGGUCGGAGGUUCGAGUCCCCUUUCCAGCACCA
RNAcentral lists this transfer RNA (76 nucleotides) under Candidatus Cloacimonadota bacterium. RNAcentral describes it as "tRNA-Thr". It matches the Rfam family "tRNA". From Rfam's summary of the family: Transfer RNA (tRNA) molecules are approximately 80 nucleotides in length. The record is from RNAcentral. Lineage: Bacteria; Pseudomonadati; Candidatus Cloacimonadota.